UACGAAGGGGGCUAGCGUUGCUCGGAAUCACUGGGCGUAAAGCGCACGUAGGCGGCCAACUAAGUCAGACGUGAAAUCCCUCGGCUUAACCGGGGAACUGCAUCUGAUACUGGAUGGCUUGAGUUUGGGAGAGGGAUGCGGAAUUCCAGGUGUAGCGGUGAAAUGCGUAGAUAUCUGGAGGAACACCGGUGGCGAAGGCGGCAUCCUGGACCAACACUGACGCUGAGGAGCGAAAGCCAGGGGAGCAAACGGG
RNAcentral lists this ribosomal RNA (253 nucleotides) under uncultured bacterium. RNAcentral's name for it is "partial 16S ribosomal RNA". It matches the Rfam family "Bacterial small subunit ribosomal RNA", at positions 524 to 776 of the family's 1533-position model. The record is from RNAcentral.